UAUACAUGCAAGUCGAGCGGACAGAAGGGAGCUUGCUCCCGGAUGUUAGCGGCGGACGGGUGAGUAACACGUGGGUAACCUGCCUGUAAGACUGGGAUAACUCCGGGAAACCGGAGCUAAUACCGGAUAGUUCCUUGAACCGCAUGGUUCAAGGAUGAAAGACGGUUUCGGCUGUCACUUACAGAUGGACCCGCGGCGCAUUAGCUAGUUGGUGGGGUAAUGGCUCACCAAGGCGACGAUGCGUAGCCGACCUGAGAGGGUGAUCGGCCACACUGGGACUGAGACACGGCCCAGACUCCUACGGGAGGCAGCAGUAGGGAAUCUUCCGCAAUGGACGAAAGUCUGACGGAGCAACGCCGCGUGAGUGAUGAAGGUUUUCGGAUCGUAAAGCUCUGUUGUUAGGGAAGAACAAGUGCGAGAGUAACUGCUCGCACCUUGACGGUACCUAACCAGAAAGCCACGGCUAACUACGUGCCAGCAGCCGCGGUAAUACGUAGGUGGCAAGCGUUGUCCGGAAUUAUUGGGCGUAAAGGGCUCGCAGGCGGUUUCUUAAGUCUGAUGUGAAAGCCCCCGGCUCAACCGGGGAGGGUCAUUGGAAACUGGGAAACUUGAGUGCAGAAGAGGAGAGUGGAAUUCCACGUGUAGCGGUGAAAUGCGUAGAGAUGUGGAGGAACACCAGUGGCGAAGGCGACUCUCUGGUCUGUAACUGACGCUGAGGAGCGAAAGCGUGGGGAGCGAA
Molecule: ribosomal RNA, 739 nt
Filed under: unidentified microorganism
Description: bacterial SSU rRNA
Rfam family: Bacterial small subunit ribosomal RNA
Source: RNAcentral